RNAcentral lists this ribosomal RNA (447 nucleotides) under uncultured bacterium. RNAcentral's name for it is "bacterial SSU rRNA". It matches the Rfam family "Bacterial small subunit ribosomal RNA", at positions 328 to 792 of the family's 1533-position model. The record is from RNAcentral.
UCUCCAGACUCCUACGGGAGGCAGCAGUGGGGAAUAUUGCACAAUGGGGGAAACCCUGAUGCAGCAACGCCGCGUGAGUGAAGAAGUCUUUCGAUAUGUAAAGCUCUAUCAGCAGGGAAGAAGAUGACGGUACCUGAGUAAGAAGCCCCGGCUAACUACGUGCCAGCAGCCGCGGUAAUACGUAGGGGGCAAGCGUUAUCCGGAUUUACUGGGUGUAAAGGGAGCGUAGACGGCAUAGCAAGUCUGGAGUGAAAGGCGGGGGCCCAACCCCCGGACUGCUUUGGAAACUGUAUAACUGGAGUGCAGGAGAGGUAAGUGGAAUUCCUAGUGUAGCGGUGAAAUGCGUAGAUAUUAGGAGGAACACCAGUGGCGAAGGCGGCUUACUGGACUGUAACUGACGUUGAGGCUCGAAAGCGUGGGGAGCAAACAGGAUUAGAUACCCGAGUA